GGGACACGUGGUAUCCUGUCUGAAUAUGGGGGGACCAUCCUCCAAGGCUAAAUACUCCUGACUGACCGAUAGUGAACCAGUACCGUGAGGGAAAGGCGAAAAGAACCCCGGCGAGGGGAGUGAAAAAGAACCUGAAACCGUGUACGUACAAGCAGUGGGAGCACGCUUAGGCGUGUGACUGCGUACCUUUUGUAUAAUGGGUCAGCGACUUAUAUUCUGUAGCAAGGUUAACCGAAUAGGGGAGCCGAAGGGAAACCGAGUCUUAACUGGGCGUUAAGUUGCAGGGUAUAGACCCGAAACCCGGUGAUCUAGCCAUGGGCAGGUUGAAGGUUGGGUAACACUAACUGGAGGACCGAACCGACUAAUGUUGAAAAAUUAGCGGAUGACUUGUGGCUGGGGGUGAAAGGCCAAUCAAACCGGGAGAUAGCUGGUUCUCCCCGAAAGCUAUUUAGGUAGCGCCUCGUGAAUUCAUCUCCGGGGGUAGAGCACUGUUUCGGCAAGGGGGUCAUCCCGACUUACCAACCCGAUGCAAACUGCGAAUACCGGAGAAUGUUAUCACGGGAGACACACGGCGGGUGCUAACGUCCGUCGUGAAGAGGGAAACAACCCAGACCGCCAGCUAAGGUCCCAAAGUCAUGGUUAAGUGGGAAACGAUGUGGGAAGGCCCAGACAGCCAGGAUGUUGGCUUAGAAGCAGCCAUCAUUUAAAGAAAGCGUAAUAGCUCACUGGUCGAGUCGGCCUGCGCGGAAGAUGUAACGGGGCUAAACCAUGCACCGAAGCUGCGGCAGCGACGCUUAUGCGUUGUUGGGUAGGGGAGCGUUCUGUAAGCCUGCGAAGGUGUGCUGUGAGGCAUGCUGGAGGUAUCAGAAGUGCGAAUGCUGACAUAAGUAACGAUAAAGCGGGUGAAAAGCCCGCUCGCCGGAAGACCAAGGGUUCCUGUCCAACGUUAAUCGGGGCAGGGUGAGUCGACCCCUAAGGCGAGGCCGAAAGGCGUAGUCGAUGGGAAACAGGUUAAUAUUCCUGUACUUGGUGUUACUGCGAAGGGGGGACGGA
This 1053-nucleotide ribosomal RNA is filed under the name Escherichia coli. RNAcentral's name for it is "partial 23S ribosomal RNA". It matches the Rfam family "Bacterial large subunit ribosomal RNA", at positions 419 to 1476 of the family's 2925-position model. Lineage: Bacteria; Pseudomonadati; Pseudomonadota; Gammaproteobacteria; Enterobacterales; Enterobacteriaceae. The record is from RNAcentral.